RNAcentral lists this unclassified non-coding RNA (1405 nucleotides) under Exaiptasia diaphana. Its description in RNAcentral is "uncharacterized LOC110237654, transcript variant X2". The record is from RNAcentral. Lineage: Eukaryota; Metazoa; Cnidaria; Anthozoa; Actiniaria; Aiptasiidae.
ACGCCAUCUCGGAAGUCGCACUCCCAUGACGCAGAAUCAUGUGACAUCAUCUCUGUUUAUUUCUUACGAACAAAUGGAGCAUCGAUUGUGGAAGACACUUAGAGGCAAACAAAACGAAAGAACGAAGAGGAUAUCUCCAUUCUUAAUGCCAGUCAAGGAUUCAGGGAACAAGCAUUCGCGUGAUCAAACGGGGANUAUUCACGGUCGAAGUCAUCUUGUCGAUACAGGGUUAACAAAACAAUCUGUUAAUAAUUACAANAGUUUUACGUCUCCGACAAAGUACACGAUUCCUCAGCAAACGAAGACUAGUAUUCAAAUGCACCGUANAACUUUAGAAACUCGAGUGCCGAUCAACUUGAAGACAGGCGGCGGGUCUUACAUGCCGAUUCACGAGCAAAAUAUCAUUUACGGGUCAACAGCAUUGUCUCCGAAGAAACCUAGGGACACAAAGAUAGACAACGCUUCCAGGAGUAAGAAGUUUAGCAAGAAAAUUGUGUUAAAAGAACCGAAANUUUUGUCACUGCCAAGAAUAACUUCUUCUUCUUCACAACGACAAAGAAGCAGAUCUAUCCAAGCAAAGAAAGAUGUGCAACAGUUUGCAACACACCUGAAUCUCAUAGAUGGACGUCGUAAAAGUCAAAGCUUUUACAAUACAGACUCNAACAAGGCACAGGCGUUAUCUAGUCAGCAAACUCAGGACAUACACUCUCAUUUUCACUUAGAAACAGAACUAACUUUACCAAAAAUUACAAUGGAUGAGGUCUUAAAAAGUUGGGAUGUACAUCCAACGAUUCCUUUGAGGAAGAGGUCAGCUGGGAAAUAUGAUCCAAUGGACUUUUUAAUCCGCCAAGAAAUGGAGAGCUCAACUUCUGCUGCUUGUAAUCUANCUAAGCACAGUUACGAUGAACUAAAAUCUUGCAGGUAUCUGAGACUUGAUAAAAAGUCUGAGGAAGAGUUAUCGCACAAAAGAUGUUGUCCCUGUAAUUCGUGUGAACACGGACAAGGACUUAAAGAAUCGCCUUAUUUGAAUGCAUAAGGCCUUCUAGGACCGUCUAAUCGCCUUAUUUGAAUGCAUAGGGCCUUCUAGGACCGUCUAUACGUAUCAUAUCAAUCAUAUCCUUACCCUUGUACAAAAUAUUUAAAGCUGAUUUAUAGUAGAGUGCACGCACUUAAUCCGUGCAACUGUACAAAAUCUAAGUAGUACUAAUUUGUACUAAAAGUGGACCUGAAGCGAGACGGUAUCUAGAAUGCUUCAUUUGUAUCAAUUCAAUUUAAUUUGCGUACCGCAUGCACGAUUUACUAAAUACAACUAAAUAGAACUAUUUAGUUUGUACAGUUGCACGGAUUAUGUGCGAUCACUCUAUAUCAUUGCCAUUGUUAUUAUAAACAUACAAUAUUUGAUUUA